This is a long non-coding RNA of Numida meleagris (helmeted guineafowl), 1613 nucleotides long. NCBI's taxonomy places the organism in Eukaryota, Metazoa, Chordata, Aves, Galliformes, Numididae. The record is from Ensembl.
CCUUAACCUUUGCAUGAUGUGUUGAUGGUGAUUUACCUCCCUCCAAGCACUGCUCUGCCUGAGCCCCCACAGGACCCCUGAAACAACUGCAGAACUGAGACUGUAGCAGAUCAUGGGAUGCCCAUAGUUCCUUCUCACUCCCUCAUCAGAAGCAGAAAUAUCAAUGUCUGCACAGUAGCUUCUAAUUCAGCUGAAAACACAAUGCUACAACUUUCAUCUGCUCUUUCUACUUGAUUUAUUCAAGCUAUGCCCCAGCUAUUUCCCAUUCUGAAAGCCAAGAGAGAAGCCAAGUGAAGGAAAAAUGGGUUUUGCUCUCCCUUCAUUAUUUUUUCAAGUUCAAACCGACCAGAUUAGGAACUCUACCAGUCUGCAUCAGUUAGAUGGAGACAUCUUUGUUGUCUCUAGUUAAAAAUCAAAGUUGAACCAAUUUAACCUAUUAACUGUAGCACAGAAAAAGCUGAAGAAGCUGUCAGUAGCUUUCUGGUCCCAAGAUGGAGUUCCUAUUGCUUUUCUAACAGGCUGAGAAAUUACUACCCAGGCUUUACUGCUGAAUUUUAUGAAUGGAAAAUAGUUUUGCCCCAAAGCUUGUAUUCAUUAUUCAUAGCUUAGUUUGUUCCCUAAGAAACAGGAACGUAGCAACAAAUUCAAGGUCUCCCUGGAUGUUAGGUAACUGCAGAUCCAGAUCAGGAACGCACAAUGCUUUUCCAUCCCUAAUUCCUGUGUCAACAUCUCCAACGGUAAACACGUGACAGAAGACACGAGAAUUUACAAACACACUUUCUGGAUGAUGAGUACAAUAACCAAGCAGGCCUAAAGCCACUGCUAGGAUGAGCUUUGGUACUGCAAUUGCAGAAUGUGGCAAGGAAACAACACUGCAGGAUUUUUUCACCUCCAAGCUACUGCUGCUUGCUCACACAAAUCUCUCUCCUGUCAGCAGUGCAAACUGCUCUGACACUGGCGUUUACUGGCAAGCAAGAAAGAGAAACAUGGGUGCAAAUGCCACGCACAGGCAAGGUAGCCUACACCCUUAAUUCUCUGUAAUGCAGAACACCUACCUAGUGCUGACCUAGCAGGCAAACAACAAAAGCACUUUAUCAGGAGGGACGCGUUAUCGCUGCUCAGCACCCCAGCUCCCGCUCCCUGAGCAAACAAUGGGGGUGGCAGGGGACAGCCACUCUCCUCCGCCACAGCUCCCUGUACCACGGCCACUCCAGCUCCCAGGCAUGGGAAUGGCACAACCUUACCAUUCUGCAAGCAGUUUGCACCAGGACCAGCUGAGUGCUCAUUCCUGCUGGGACUCAGUGGGUCCAUAACCUCCAGGGAGGAGGUAGCUGUGCUGCAAGACUUGCCAAGACUCUUCUGUUGGCAUCUUGAUGUCCUAGCAAGGCCCCACAGGAACACAGCUUGUUCACUGAAGGAGGGUGCCAGAACAAGCUACUGCAGUUCAUAGCAGUGCUUUUACUCUCAGUGAACUUCAAAUUAAGUAUAAAGUGGGAAGAGCAUUGCUAAAACAUCCAGAAAUCACCACUCCCAACAGAAAUGCAGACAGCAGGUUUCCUUGCAGAUCCUCCCAAGCCCCUUUGCAACACUUGCUGCAGCAUGAAGCCCCAUCA